RNAcentral lists this ribosomal RNA (1264 nucleotides) under Tangaroa tahitiensis. RNAcentral's name for it is "SSU rRNA". It matches the Rfam family "Eukaryotic small subunit ribosomal RNA", at positions 445 to 1730 of the family's 1831-position model. Lineage: Eukaryota; Metazoa; Arthropoda; Arachnida; Araneae; Uloboridae. The record is from RNAcentral.
CCACUCCCGGCACGGGGAGGUAGUGACGGAAAAUAACAAUACGGGACUCUUUUGAGACCCCGUAAUUGGAAUGAGCACACUCCAAACCGUUUAACGAGGAUCCAUUGGAGUACCAGUCUGGUGCCAGCACACGCGGUAACUCCAGCUCCAAUAGCGUAUAUUAAAGUUGUUGCGGUUAAAAAGCUCGUAGUUGGAUCUCAGUUCCGGCCGGGGGGUCCGCCUUAAACCGGCGGCCACUCCCCCGCAGCCGAACAGCCGGCCGGUUUCCCCCGAUGAUCUUCACCGGUUGUCCCGGGUGACCGGCAAGUUUACUUUGAAAAAAUUAGAGUGCUCAGGGCAGGCGCGACGCCUGGAUAAAGGUGCAUGGAAUAAUGGAAUAGGACCUCGGUUCUGUUCUGUUGGUCUUCGGGACACGAGGUAAUGAUUAAGAGGGACAGAUGGGGGCAUUCGUAUUGCGGCGCUAGAGGUGAAAUUCUUGGACCGCCGCAAGACGAACUACUGCGAAAGCAUUUGCCAAGAAUGUUUCCAUUAAUCAAGAACGAAAGUUAGAGGUGCGAAGGCGAUCAGAUACCGCCCUAGUUCUAACCAUAAACGAUGCCAGCCGGCGAUCCGGCGUCGUUCCUCAAAUGACACGCCGGGCAGCUUCCGGGAAACCAAAGCCUUUGGGUUCCGGGGGAAGUAUGGUUGCAAAGCUAAAACUUAAAGGAAUUGACGGAAGGUCACACAAGGAAUGGAGCUUGCGGCUUAAUUUGACUCAACGCGGGGUAGCCUACCCAGCCAGGGCACAGGAAGGAUUGACAGAUUAAGAGCUCUUUCUUGAUUCUGUGGGUAGUGGUGCAUGUCCGUUCUUCGUUGGUGGAGCGAUUUGUCUGGUUAAUUCCGAUAACGAACGAGAUUCUAGCCUGCUAAAUAGGCGUUCCCGGUCCUUCGGGGGCCGGGCGCUCUUCUUAGAGGGAUCGGCGGCGCUCAGCCGCACGAAACAGAGCAAUAACAGGUCUUGAAUGCCCUUAGAUGCCUGGGGCUGCACGCGUGCUACAUUGAAGGAACCAGCGUGUGCUCUCCCUGUCCGGCAGGACUGGGUAACCCGCUGAACCUCCUUCGUGCUGGGGAUAGGAGUUUGUAACUGUCCUCCUUGAACGAGGAAUUCCUAGUAAGCGCGAGUCAUAACCUCGCGUUGAUUAGGUCCCUGGCCUUUGUACACACCGCCCGUCGCUACCCCCGAUGGAAUGAUUUAGUGAGGUCUUCGGACUGGCGCUCGGAGGGG